UGAUUCCUCUGCCUUGGCCUCCCAAAGUGCUGGGAUUACAGGCAUGAGCCACCACACCCAGGUACUUGUUAAGCCUGAGAAUAGAAUUGCUGGCCCUCCUUCUAUGUAAGCUCCCAGUCUGUCUGCAGAGGCCAGCCUUAAGGUUACUGUUUCUGCUGCUCAGAUGGCCCCAAGCAGGGGGACUCCAGGUGUGAUAUUGGGUACAUUGGUCAUCCCUCUGCCUCCCACCUGGAUGGAAACAGUCUGAGAGCCCUCUCUGUGGCUUGGUUUUAGGCAGGACCUUAGGACUUGUGGGUGAAUUGAUGGGGGAGAUACACACUUACCUAUGUCCUCUUUCCCAGCAUGGGACUUGAAUGCUGCUAUUGGUGCACAUUUCUGCAGACGUGUCUCUGGCUGUCAGGAUGCAGAAUGUUGGUAGGUCCAGUGUGGGGGCUGCCAAAGGCGGUGUCAUGUGCUCUGUGGAUUUUUGUGUGAUUAUAAUGGUCCCAUUUGAAGUUUUCCUGUUUGUUGCAGUAAAACCUCUCUUCAGUGUCUGUUACCUUUCUCUAUAUUCUUGGUGAAGGAGAGAGAUAGUAAUAAGGGGCCUAAAUGAGGUAAGAAGAGCAGAUGCUGUUCUCUGCUUCCUCCCUGCCACCAACAUUCCUUCUGCCCUGUUUUUCCUGGCCAGCUGUGCUCUGGGCAGUCCAAGCCUGUGAACCAGCCACACCCAGGAUCUGUGGUGGAGCUCAGUCCCAGACUGUUCUGGAAGAGUCGCCCAGAGGAGCCGUGUGGUCUCCCAUUCAGCAACAGAGUACGGGAUGGUCUCUCUGAAGGGCAGAGGGUCUGAGCACUGUCCCCUUCAUGGCAUCUAAGGCUGAAAUGCUGAAUGAUGCAAUGAGAGGAUUCUAGGGGAGAAAAGGAGCUGUACAUGGGCUUGAUUCUUCCCUCCCCAGCUGGUGGACACAGCACCAGAGGUGGAGCUGGAGGGCCCUCCACUGACCCACAUGCACUCCACUUUGCAGCUGUGCCCUGGGACACACUUAUAAUCUCAAAGUGUUAUGAAUUCCAACCACUGGAUUCUACCCUACUUCUGACAUAAUCUUCUUGGGUUGAUAGUAGCCUGUCUCAUUACCGAGUAUUUCUUCUUAUGGGUAGCCCUGGUUAGUCAUUUUCUUUUAACUUUUUGUUUAAAGAAGACCUGUAGAUAUGAGCUUUUUGUCAGAGAUGAUCUCUGCAGGCCUGAGUCUAAACUGUUAACCCUCUCUCAGAGAAUGAGUGCUGGCUCUUGAAUUUCAGGCGCUUUGACAUUUACUGAGGGAAAGAAGGAGAAUGGAAGGAGUGAGCAUAAAGCGCUGACCUGAGUGGAAUGGCGGGUCGACUUGCCAGAGCCCCGAGAUGAUUAUACUCUCCCAGCUCUAGGACAAGCUGUCCAAUUUCCCAAAAACCAAUUUGACAAUUGUCGAGUGACCAAUUUGCUGAAUUAGAAGAAUUUACUAAUUUACCAAAUUGCUUAUUUCUUUUAUGCAUUUCUAAAGACUUGAGCAAUUGGCAUGGGCUGGGUUGGCAGGGCCUGAAAGGGUUUGGAGCAAUGAGUCAGAAGCAAUGGUCUCUGGGAACAACCCUGUAGGUGGCGCCACUCUCUGGACUGAGAGGGGCACUGGGUGGAUGGUGGAGAGUUAGGGGAGGCUUUGCUGCAGAGAUCCGAGCCUUGCUGACUCUUCAGUUCUUGUUUUUAAAGCAAUCCUUAUUUUUGACCACCUUUUUUCCUUAAAAGUCAGUCAGCUCACCACUUUUGGAUUCUUCCUUGACUUCCUGGCCGUACAUACUUCCCAUCCUCACGCUGCCUCACUUGUUUGGCUCUUCAUCUCUCUCCUUCUCCUCCUUCACCCUGGAGCAACACCGGAGGCCUCUCAUGUCCUCCCGUGGAGAAGUGGGAGAACAGCACAGCCCUUGCCUUACUAUUUUGUUCUUACGACCCUCAGACCUUCAGGGGCUCACUUUCUCCCACAGCACUGUAGCCAAAGAAAGGUUUCUUUCCUAAGAGGGAUUAUGGUAUCAGCUCUUCAAAUACCAUUAAAUUUUUAUUUUCUACACAUAAACACAUUCUUAUGGUUUUGGAAAAUGGAAGCAGUAUAAAACCAAAAUUUUUUGCAAACUCAGUGUGAUAGCCUUCAUAUAUUAGGCAUUCAAUGAAUAUUUUAGUGAUUAACAAAUGGGUGGUUUUUAAUAAUGAACCUCACCCUGUUAUAACCAAAUACUCGUGUCAGAGAAACUAGCUUGCUUUUAUAUCAAGAUUAUGGCCCUGGAUUUUGAUAAUGCCACAGAAAUAUUGUCAAAUGUUGUUCACUCGGCUCUGCUCUUUCCAAGUUGAGGUGAGCUAAGGGAGCCAACCAAAGUAAGGUUGGUUUCCUGCUCCUUUUCCCCCCCACUUAACCCUUUGCUUAAAAAGCUCUCCGAGGCCAUAAACUACUAGGACACAACUCCCUAUUAAUUAGCCAUUUAUAACUAUGUUUCUGUUGAUUUUUUGGACCAAUCAUUAAUUUGAUAGGGUUAUAGGAAGUCCUAUGCUCCUGUAACUGAGAAGACACUGUCUAAGUGUGGGUCCAGAUUGAGGAGGUCCUUUGGGGUCUGUUGCUUCUAUCAUUGGCCUGACCCACGCUGUCUCUCAAAUUCAGACCUCUCAGAAAAAGGAAGAAAGGCUUCAUCCGCAGUGGGCAUUAAAAAAAAUCAUAAACAUCUAUUCAUGGUCUUGGAAUUGAAUCUUAAGGCAAAGCAGGAUCUCAGGUAAGAUUGACAGAUGAUGAACUGGCAGCCCACACCCCAUUCCUGUUGAUAUGUUCUACCUCUUUCUAUUACUGGGGUGUGAUUACUUCAAAGCCAGGAAGAGCUGCAAUCUAAUUUUAGAAGAAUGCCCUUCUUUUACACGUUGGUGAGUAUAUAUCUUAAUAUAUGAUGUAUAUAUCUAUAUAAUUUUAGUAGUUGUAUAAUAAAAAUUGGGAUAGGUAAACAAAAGAGAGCAGCUGAAAAGUCUACCUAUAAAGGCUUCAGGCUAACAUAGUUACUUAUAUUGCUUCUACCACAAAUCUGUGGGGAUGAUUUUUAUUUGUUGGGAAGGGUUGUCUCUGAAUUUCCUGUAAAGUUUGGCAUUUUAAAUCUUUUUUUUGACUCUUCUCCUGUUAAAUAUAUAUCUUGGAAACUUGGCUGUUUCUGUUUCCUGAGCUUCACAGCGAACCAACAAACCAGCAGUAACUGUAAUCCACCUCUUAAAAUUUAAUCCCUUGGGACAGUCCAUCUCAAUGGCAGAAUAAGAAACACUCUCCUGGCAGAAUAAGGGUGAAGAUAAGCCUAUUCCUGUACUUAUCUGGGAGCACAUGUAGGUAUGAGUAACAAGACCAAGAGCUGCCAAGGGUGAAGGAAGAUGUAGGAGCCCAUGGAUUGCAUGAGGGAAAUAUGGAUCCUGUGAAGGGCAAGUUGGUUUCUUUGUGUGGACGACCCAGAUAAAGCAAUGAAAAUGGAUAAUAAGGACAGUAAGGACAAGUGCCUUCCAAGGCAUUAAGGCAAAUGAGAUUGUAGCAUGGAUACAGAAGAGAAAGGAGAGAGAGAAAAAGUAGAUGGAAAAGUAAAUGACUCAAACCUUCCAUUACUGAAAGUUCCAAAUGUUUCUUUAAUGGCAAUCACCAGAUUGUAGGCCUUCAUUUUUCACCGGUCAGCAUUCCCUCAUCUUUCUGUUCAUAACAAAUGUGAGUUCCUCUUCUGACCACUAGAGGUCUCUAGAGAAUCACGGAUCAACAUCUGAAGCCUCAUACCCUCUUGCUAUCAGCCACUCUAGGAGGUGGAAAUGUUUAUUUUUCCAACAUGAAUAGUCAGUCACAUAGUCACAAGAGAUCCAAGGCCUGAAUCUUAAAUUUCUAAAAAUUAAAAAAUGCAUAUAGCUGCUUCAGUGGGUAGCUGCCUACUCAACUUCAAGCUGGCACUGACCAUCAUCCCUCAAAUAUGUCCCUUGCUAUUUUGAUGGUAGAAAUUCUGCUAUUACACAGAAUAACAGCACUGCUUCUACUAAAAAGGCAAAUGCUGUGGAAGCCUAAUUUAUACAAUCAUAAUGAGUUAUUUAUACGAUAGUAUGAGUGACUCCGUUGGGCCUUUGCCAUUGUGAUUACGAAGGAUGACAGAUCAGGGUUGGUGGGGAGAUGAGGAGGGCAAUGAAAGAGGAGGUGAAGACAAACUUCAUCUACUUCACACCAUUGCAGAGGUCUGACCCCAGGUCCUCUUCCAACUUCCUGCCCCUCAGUAAGUGCUGUGGGUGUGUAACCCAACUCUGGGGUCAAGUGAACAAACUGCCCUCAACUUCCUUAAGGCUUCCUGUUCAAGACGAUGACUUCCAGACUUUACUGGGACACUGAUAUUAUCACCUCUGGAGUCCUUGAUGUGACUCUCUUCCUGGUCAUAUGGACUGUAGCUAUUUUGGGCGUGUCCAACAUGUUUGAUAGUGCCGGUGAUGACAAGUGUACAUUUCAACAUUCCAUUAUUUAGAACACGCAUGUAAUUAUUUGUAAUGAAUCACUGAUGACAUCUGGAGAACAAUGAAGUCCUCUUUUAAUGUUUGGAUGAUUAGCUAUCGGAAAUUUUUACUUUGAUGGUCUUUCAUUUUUAUCUCAAGGAUUUUGGAUAUUAGUUCCUGUUGCACUCUGAUGUACAUUAAUUUUUCCUACAUUUAUCUGUCCAUCAAACAUUUAUUGAGAGUCUAUUAAUUUCCUCUUACACUGAAGGCUCUAUAAAUAUGAGGAUGAAUAGGAAGAAUAGGGCAGGGUUCUCAAGAAGUUCGUCAGUUGAUAGAAGGGCCAGAUAUGUUGAGGCAGUUACGAAGUGCAUGAUAAAUAGAGAAGUACGAAGUGCAUGAUAAAUAGAGAAGUACGAAGUGCAUUGGGACUAGGAAAAAAAUAAAGAAAUACUUCUAGAAAAAUAAAGUCCAUUUUCUCAGCUUGUUUGAAAGCCAUCAUCUGUUGUUGUUAUUAUUUUUCAUCAGGGGACAGUAGUCUGAUAAUUCACCUUGAUGCCUUUGGUAUAUUUUUUAAUUGCUUUUAGCUCUUUUAAAAGGUGCUUACCACAGGGUUGAAGGGUAGAGUAUAUGUAAGGCAAUGUGGCUAGAGCCUACUGGUAUAACCCAUUCCAAAGGAGUGACCUCUUAUCUGGUCAAAGGAAGACCAGUGGCCAGUAGGGUUGCCUGUGUUUUCACAGUGGAUAUCCUGGAGCUCCUGAAGUUGGUACUACUGGAACACAGAACAUUCCCUACUGAAGAGAAUGUUAUAAAGUGCAUAUGUUCUUUCUUUCUGCAAUUUUCAAGGAUUGUGCACAUCUCUCAGUAACCUAGCCUUCUUUUGAAGCCUUGCUUACAAGACAGAAAAUUAGACAGCUGCUCCAAAAGAGUCAGAUGCUGAGAUCCAUUGUCCACCCUGGCUCCUGCUCUGAAUUGACAUCAGUUUGCAACUAGCAGUUUCAUAAAUCAAGAAAAAGAAGAAAGGUAAAUUAAUGACUGUGUUAACUAGAGGGGCUCUGAAUUUCUGCUUUACAUGUACUCAUUUUGAAUUUCACUUUUAUUAUAAUGAACUUGCAAACACAGCAUUGCAAUAGUAUAUGCACCUCCCAAAGAUGCUGGGAAAUAGCUGAUAUUUCAUCAUUUGAGGACAGUUUGUGCCUGCAAGUGGCAGAGGUGCAGGAGGAGACAAAUAAAAGGGAUGCCUACAUCCUAUUUCCAUGAAUUUCUGUCCUCUGAGCUGAAAGACAAUUUACAAGUUGGCUGAUAAGACCUUGAAGAAAGAAGAUAUUUUAAAACUUUAAUUGAAAAUCCCCAUUCCUUCUCAUUGAAGAAGCAAAAGAAGAAACUAUAAUGAUGGACACUCUGGUGCUAGUAUCAGUCAUUUUGAUCACAAGACGUGGACCAGCCCACCUUGGAGCUCACUGUGGUGGUGGCCUGGUCCUAAUGCAAGUCCUAAUGGAGCUCUUGGAACUGGCUGUAGCCUUUGCUGAGCAGGAGCAACUAUGUCUCUGGUUCUUAAGGAUUGAAAAGGUACGUUGAAGAUGGAGAACAACUGAUGUCAAGACACAUUUUGGUUGUAAGGGACAGAAGUCCAACUCCAACGAGCUUGCCAAGGAUGGAACCUGCUGGCAAACAUAACCAAACUUUGGGAAGGGCAGGGUAUGGUUAACCUCAGGUUUCUGGAAGCAGAGUGUACAGUGCUGUGCCGUCCCUCUUCUCUCUGCUUCUCUCUGCGUAUUGGCCCUAUCCUCUCAGUGGGGCACCCUCCCUGAGCAGCGAACAGCAGCCACAGGAAGCUCCAGUGUCAAUGCCUCCCACAGCUUUCCAGAGAAGCAGCAGCCUCUUUGUUAGCUCCGUAUCAAAGACAUCCACAGGCAGGGCUUUGUGUGACCCAGUUUGGGUCACGUCUUUAUUUGGGGCCCGGAGGAAAUGGAUACAAUGACUACAGCCCAUCAUAGAACCUCAUGUUUAGAGGACCAAAUUUCCUCUCUCCAAAAGUGAAAUGUUGUCACUGUCCAUUCAACUGAUGAAAAUCUUCCUUUUCAACAGAAAAACUAUCAUGAUGUUGUCUGUUGGGCUUCAGUUUCUUACAGCAGUCAUCUUAAGAAUUAAACUGGUAUGGAUAAUCUGACUAUGAACUCCUUGAGGGCAGGGACCAUAUUAUAUAAUACUUCUGUGUCCUCUGCUAUUUCUUAGCAGAAUUUUGAAAAUGUGCCAAGUGUUGACUUGGUUCGAUCACUUGUGAGAAUGGAGGGACCCAUAAUGUUAAUAAUCAAUGAAGGUUGUUGGAGUUACUUACCCAAAACCUUAUGAACUUAGCCUUCCCUAGCAGAUUUAGUUUCGUAAUUUGUCCGGUAUAAGCAAACACUAAAGAGGGAUUGGGGAAAGUUGUGAGUUGAGUAGUUGGGAAAAAGGUAGUUUGCAGUUUUAUUUACGUCUCACAGCUUGACAUUUUUUGUUUGCCUUGGAGGGGGUACUUUUAAAAAUUCCUCUUUUGAAAACAAUAAAAUCUUAGAUUUUGGAUAACAGAUAUUUCUGUACUAUAUACCUCACUUAAGAUUUUCAAAGUAAUGUUUAAAAGUGCCUUUUAUAUUUUUUCAUACCACAUUGUAGGGAAGGCCAGGGUCAUUUUUUAACACUUAACUAUGCUCAAUACCUCCUCACCACUAUAAAGUAAGGUCGAAUGUUGGUUAAAGCAAAGCUGUCUGGAAUCACCCUGUCAAAAGUACUGAUUUAUAACCUUGCUACUCACAUUUCUUACUGUGGUGCCCUCCCUCUUGUUGGCUCCUGCAUCUUUGAAGUACAGGGAAAAUGAACUAAUAUGGCAGCUCCAAUAUGCAGCUAAUCCUGCCAAUGAUGUCUCCCCUGGAAGUGUUUGAGAGAAGAAUUUCUUUUCCCAGUAUGGAUUUAUGUAAACAUUUGUUCCAUUCACGAGUAGCACAUUAAUGCCUAAUUCUGGAAAAAAUACAAAGAAAAAACCUUU
RNAcentral lists this long non-coding RNA (7496 nucleotides) under Homo sapiens (human). RNAcentral describes it as "HSALNT0327674". Lineage: Eukaryota; Metazoa; Chordata; Mammalia; Primates; Hominidae. The record is from RNAcentral.